GACGAACGCUGGCGGCGUGCCUAAUACAUGCAAGUAGAACGCUGAAGGAGGAGCUUGCUUCUCUGGAUGAGUUGCGAACGGGUGAGUAACGCGUAGGUAACCUGCCUGUUAGCGGGGGAUAACUAUUGGAAACGAUAGCUAAUACCGCAUAAUAGUAGAUGUUGCAUGACAUUUGCUUAAAAGGUGCAAUUGCAUCACUACCAGAUGGACCUGCGUUGUAUUAGCUAGUUGGUGGGGUAACGGCUCACCAAGGCGACGAUACAUAGCCGACCUGAGAGGGUGAUCGGCCAAACUGGGACUGGGACACGGCCCAGACCCCUACGGGAGGCAGCCGUAGGGAAUCUUCGGCAAUGGACGGAAGUCUGACCGAGCAACGCCGCGUGAGUGAAGAAGGUUUUCGGAUCGUAAAGCUCUGUUGUAAGAGAAGAACGAGUGUGAGAGUGGAAAGUUCACACUGUGACGGUAUCUUACCAGAAAGGGACGGCUAACUACGUG
This 495-nucleotide ribosomal RNA is filed under the name uncultured bacterium. Its description in RNAcentral is "partial 16S ribosomal RNA". It matches the Rfam family "Bacterial small subunit ribosomal RNA", at positions 28 to 507 of the family's 1533-position model. The record is from RNAcentral.